UAGUAGUACUAAUAAUUCUUGUUAUAGUACCCCUUUAAAUUCUCCACCAAAAUUGAAUCUUUCUAUGAGAGGUAAUUUACCACCAACACAAUUUACUACUGAUCCUGGAUUUGCAGAAAGAGCUGCUAGAUUUUCUUGUUUUGCUACAAAUUUAGAAAGUAAUCAUUCCAUCAAGAUUCAAGAUGUCAAUUUGGUUCAAAGAAAUUCUGAAUUUGGAGAUUCAAGAGAAAAUUCAUCACUUUCUGAGCAA
RNAcentral lists this unclassified non-coding RNA (250 nucleotides) under Hevea brasiliensis (rubber tree). The record is from RNAcentral. Lineage: Eukaryota; Viridiplantae; Streptophyta; Magnoliopsida; Malpighiales; Euphorbiaceae.